GAGUUUGAUCCUGGCUCAGGGUGAACGCUAGCGGUGCGCCUAACACAUGCAAGUCGAGCGGUAGAAUAUUAAAUGAAGCUUCGGCUGAUUUUAAUAUUUGAGAGCGGCGAACGGGUGAGUAACACGUUGGUAUCUGCCCCCAAGUCAGGGAUAGCCAUUGGAAACGAUGAUUAAUACCGGAUAGUCUCUUCGGAGUAAAGAUUUAUUGCUUGGGGAGGAGCCUGCGUUCUAUCAGCUAGUUGGUAAGGUAAGAGCUUACCAAGGCUAUGACGGAUACCUGGUCUGAGAGGAUGAUCAGGCACAAUGGAACUGAGACACGGUCCAUACUCCUACGGGAGGCAGCAGUGAGGAAUCUUCCACAAUGGACGAAAGUCUGAUGGAGCGACACCGCGUGAAGGAUGAAGGCCUAACGGUUGUAAACUUCUUUUCUGAAGGAGCAUAAUGAGAGUACUUCAGGAAUAAGGGACGGCUAAAUACGUGCCAGCAGCCGCGGUAAUACGUAUGUCUCGAGCGUUACCCGGAAUCACUGGGUGUAAAGGGUUCGUAGGUGGAAUAUUAAGUCAGGUAUGAAAGACCGGAGCUCAACUCCGAGUUUGUGCUUGAAACUGGCAUUCUAGGAUUAGGGAGAGGUAAGCGGAAUUCUAAGUGUAGGGGUGCAAU
Molecule: ribosomal RNA, 660 nt
Filed under: uncultured bacterium
Lineage: Bacteria
Description: bacterial SSU rRNA
Rfam family: Bacterial small subunit ribosomal RNA
Source: RNAcentral